Non-coding RNA from Potamilus streckersoni, 74 nucleotides. Lineage: Eukaryota; Metazoa; Mollusca; Bivalvia; Unionida; Unionidae. The record is from the annotation of a GenBank genome assembly.
AGCUCCGGUGGCCUAGUGGUUAGAGCUUCCGCCUCGGAUGUGGGAGGUCGCGAGUUCGAACCAUAACCGAGUCA